GAUGAACGCUGGCGGCAUGCCUAACACAUGCAAGUCGAACGAACGCUUCGGCCUUAGUGUCGCCCGGGUGCGUAACGCGUGGGAAUCUUCCCCUUUGUUCGGACUAACAAUUAGAAAUGACUGCUAAUACCGGAUGAUGACUUAAGUCCAAAGAUUUAUCGCCGCGGAUUGAUCCAGCGUAGAAUUAGCUAGUUGGUUUGGUAAGAGCGCACCAAGGCGAGGAUCCUUAACUGGUCUGAGAGGAUGAUCAGCAACACUGGGACGGAGAAACGGCCCAGACUCCUACGGGAGGCAGCAGUGGGGAAUAGUGGACAAUGGGCGAAAGCAUGAUCCAGUAAUGCCGGGUGAGUGAUGAAGGCCGUAGGGUUGAAAAGCUCUUUUACCUGGGAUGAUAAUGACAGUACCUGGAGAAUAAGCUACGGCUAACUCCGUG
RNAcentral lists this ribosomal RNA (433 nucleotides) under uncultured bacterium. Its description in RNAcentral is "partial 16S ribosomal RNA". It matches the Rfam family "Bacterial small subunit ribosomal RNA", at positions 28 to 507 of the family's 1533-position model. The record is from RNAcentral.